ACGCACGCUGGCGGCGUGCCUAAUACAUGCAAGUCGCACGAGAGCGACCGGUGCUUGCACUGGUCAAUCUAGUGGCGAGCGGGUGAGUAACACGUGGGUAACCUGCCCAUCAGAGGGGGAUAACAUCCGGAAACGGAUGCUAAAACCGCAUAGGUCUUCGAACCGCAUGGUUUGAAGAGGAAAAGAGGCGCAAGCUUCUGCUGAUGGAUGGACCCGCGGUGCAUUAGCUAGUUGGUGAGGUAACGGCUCACCAAGGCCGUGAUGCAUAGCCGACCUGAGAGGGUGAUCGGCCACAUUGGGACUGAGACACGGCCCAAACUCCUACGGGAGGCAGCAGUAGGGAAUCUUCCGCAAUGGACGCAAGUCUGACGGAGCAACGCCGCGUGAGUGAAGAAGGUUUUCGGAUCGUAAAACUCUGUUGUUAGAGAAGAACAAGUGCUAGAGUAACUGUUAGCGCCUUGACGGUAUCUAACCAGAAAGCCACGGCUAACUACGUG
RNAcentral lists this ribosomal RNA (497 nucleotides) under uncultured bacterium. Its description in RNAcentral is "partial 16S ribosomal RNA". It matches the Rfam family "Bacterial small subunit ribosomal RNA", at positions 29 to 507 of the family's 1533-position model. The record is from RNAcentral.